GCGAGCGGCGGACGGGUGAGUAAUGCCUAGGAAUCUGCCUGGUAGUGGGGGAUAACGCUCGGAAACGGACGCUAAUACCGCAUACGUCCUACGGGAGAAAGCAGGGGACCUUCGGGCCUUGCGCUAUCAGAUGAGCCUAGGUCGGAUUAGCUAGUUGGUGAGGUAAUGGCUCACCAAGGCGACGAUCCGUAACUGGUCUGAGAGGAUGAUCAGUCACACUGGAACUGAGACACGGUCCAGACUCCUACGGGAGGCAGCAGUGGGGAAUAUUGGACAAUGGGCGAAAGCCUGAUCCAGCCAUGCCGCGUGUGUGAAGAAGGUCUUCGGAUUGUAAAGCACUUUAAGUUGGGAGGAAGGGCAGUUACCUAAUACGUAAUUGUUUUGACGUUACCGACAGAAUAAGCACCGGCUAACUCUGUGCCAGCAGCCGCGGUAAUACAGAGGGUGCAAGCGUUAAUCGGAAUUACUGGGCGUAAAGCGCGCGUAGGUGGUUCGUUAAGUUGGAUGUGAAAUCCCCGGGCUCAACCUGGGAACUGCAUUCAAAACUGACGAGCUAGAGUAUGGUAGAGGGUGGUGGAAUUUCCUGUGUAGCGGUGAAAUGCGUAGAUAUAGGAAGGAACACCAGUGGCGAAGGCGACCACCUGGACUGAUACUGACACUGAGGUGCGAAAGCGUGGGGAGCAAACAGGAUUAGAUACCCUAGGUAGUCCACGCCGUAAACGAUGUCAACUAGCCGUUGGGAGCCUUGAGCUCUAGUGGCGCAGCUAACGCAUUAAGUUGACCG
RNAcentral lists this ribosomal RNA (784 nucleotides) under uncultured Pseudomonas sp. Its description in RNAcentral is "bacterial SSU rRNA". It matches the Rfam family "Bacterial small subunit ribosomal RNA", at positions 91 to 871 of the family's 1533-position model. Lineage: Bacteria; Pseudomonadati; Pseudomonadota; Gammaproteobacteria; Pseudomonadales; Pseudomonadaceae. The record is from RNAcentral.